UUUAGCUUGGUCGGUGCACAGAAACGCACGUUUCGUGAGAAUCCUCCAGUCCAAAAUGGAGAGAAAGAGAAAAGGGGGUGCAGAGAAACUGCGAGACAAGAAGAGGCUUGCUCUUCAAGCCAAUGCUGCCAAAUGUGGCAAAAUAUCAGAAAUGUUUGCCACGGCAGGGCCAUCCUCAGCUCCCGUGGAUGACAGUGAUGCUGGUGGCGAUACGAUACAACGACCUACGGUACACACCCAGUCGGAUGAACUCUACCCAUUACUGUGAUGGACGUGGAGUAUACUUUUUUUGUUAAUAAAUAACACCUUUUGGAAGUGUAUAAUGCGUCCACUCUCACUGAUUGAUUUUAACUCAUUGCAUGGCUUAAGGUAUGUGGAAAAUAGUUGCACAGUUGGAGUCAGGCUUUUAGCUAGGAUUUUUUGUACAGCACUUGAUAGUUUUUAGGUAAUAUUACAAUUACACUGAUUUAUUUAUAUGUUUAGUAAUUUAAUACAUAAUAACAGUGAGUGUAACUGAAACUAGGCAACAAGGUACAAAAUUCAAGUAACAACUUUAACAAAAAGAAACAACUUUCUACACAACUUUAAAGUGUAUGAUGUAUAUUGUAUUGUAUUGAAUUUAGAUUAACUAAGACCACCACCUUAACACACAAACUCUUGUUGAACUCAUAAAGUAGUAGGUUCAGUGACGUGCGGUGAGACAGCUGUCUUCUGUAGCUUAUGCGAGCCCGUGAAUCAAUGUUUCGUUGGAAUCAUGAUGUAACGUUGUUGUAGCGGGAAUACAGCAAUGCUAUUUUCUAAUUGGCAGGGCAUAUGUAUGAUUCUAGACUUCGCUAGGGCACUGAAGCGACUGAAACGGUGAACUUUGAUCACAUUCAGCCAAGUUAACAGGUAAAACGGGAGAAAAAUAGGGCGUCUUUAGGCCGUCCUGCCUAAAAGUAGGGCGUCCCAUUUCUUCUUAUUUUUUAGUAGACUAUAGGGCAGACGCCCUGCUAGCUAAAAGCCUGGUUGGUGUAGACAUUCGAGAGACCAAAAAGACUGAAAAGGUGUGUUAUCGAAUUUAGUGGGC
This is a long non-coding RNA of Gadus macrocephalus (Pacific cod), 1069 nucleotides long. RefSeq lists it as uncharacterized. Lineage: Eukaryota; Metazoa; Chordata; Actinopteri; Gadiformes; Gadidae. The transcript is spliced from 2 exons. The record is from RefSeq and is a predicted model, not a curated record.